GGAAUCUCUAAGACGCAGAGAAGAUACUCCCCACCCUGAGUAUCAAGAAAAGGCACAUGACCCGUGGUCAACCACGCUCCAGAAGCAGGUGAUCCUCCUCCCGAUGUACCACCAGAAGGUAAUAAAAAGUCCAGUAAAAAGUAAUACAGCAAAGCUCCCUGCAGAGCGCUUCAAGGAGAAAGAGAAACAAUCC
Manis javanica (Malayan pangolin) is the source of this 193-nucleotide non-coding RNA. The record is from RefSeq and is a predicted model, not a curated record. Lineage: Eukaryota; Metazoa; Chordata; Mammalia; Pholidota; Manidae.